This is a long non-coding RNA of Rhopalosiphum padi (bird cherry-oat aphid), 658 nucleotides long. RefSeq lists it as uncharacterized. The transcript has 3 exons. NCBI's taxonomy places the organism in Eukaryota, Metazoa, Arthropoda, Insecta, Hemiptera, Aphididae. The record is from RefSeq and is a predicted model, not a curated record.
GUACCACAGUUUGAUAACCGCUGCAUUACAUUAUACAUAAAAAAAUUACAAAUUAAAACUAGAAAUGUAAUAUUAAUUAUAUUAUUACAGUAUUAACUUAAAUCUUAAUCAUAAAGUUGUGCUAUUCAUCUACUUAAAUACCUAUAUCCUAAUAAGUUUAAUCAAGUUUCAAUUUCAGUAUGUUUAUUUUAAUUUAUUUCAAAUUUAAUAAGUACCUAUACAUAUUUAAAAAUGUAAAGCGUGGAGGUGCUGAGGACUCGUCCGCUUCGGCUUCGAUCCGAAGUCAAUAAUUUAUCCAUGUCCUUACUGUCACGUCUUUCAGAAAGCUGUUGUUUCGAAAAGCUUAUUACGUUCAGUGACGUCCCAGAUGAAGAUAUUUGUCUUCGAAAGGCAUCUGAAUCCUAAUCACUAGAUAAUGGUCAAGGGUUUUUUCAAAUGCACACGUCAAAAAAAGUACACCACAAAACGGUGCAUAUGUUUUUAAAAAAAAAAAGGUACUUCUCUAAAUACCAUCCAAAAAGUUCGUGUAGGUACUACUGUACUAAUAAAUAAAUUAUAUUUUGUAAAAAGAAUAAUAAUUUAAUAAUUGUAAUUAAAAACUGAAAUAAUAAUAAUUUAAUAGUUCUAAUAAAUUUAUGUAAACAAAAUAAAUAUUUAU